CCCUGGGUAGUGCAAAUGGUUAACAUUCUUGGCUGCUAACCAAAAGGUUGGAGGUUUGAAUCCACCCAGAAGGG
This is a transfer RNA of Loxodonta africana (African savanna elephant), 74 nucleotides long. It matches the Rfam family "tRNA". Rfam says of the family: Transfer RNA (tRNA) molecules are approximately 80 nucleotides in length. The record is from Rfam. NCBI's taxonomy places the organism in Eukaryota, Metazoa, Chordata, Mammalia, Proboscidea, Elephantidae.